AUUGAACGCUGGCGGCAUGCUUUACACAUGCAAGUCGAACGGCAGCACGGGGGCAACCCUGGUGGCGAGUGGCGGACGGGUGAGUAAUACAUCGGAACGUGCCCAGUCGUGGGUGAUGACGUAGCGAAAGUUACGCUAAUACCGCAUACGAUCUACGGAUGAAAGCGGUGGACCUGAAGGCCCUGCGAUUGGAGCGGCCGAUAUCAGAUUAGGUAGUUUGUGGAGUAAAGGCCCACCAAGCCAACGAGCUGUAGCUGGUCUGAGAGGACGACCAGCCACACUGCAACUGGGACACUGUCCAGACUCCUACGGGAGCCAACAGCGGGGAAUUUUGGACAAUGGCCGAAAGCCUCAUCCAGCCAUUCCGCGUGCAGGAUGAAGGCCCUCGGGUUGUAAACUGCUUUUGUACAGAACGAAAAGGUUUCUACUAAUACUAGGAGCUCAUGACGGUACUGUAAGAAUAAGCACCGGCUAACUACGUGCCAGCAGCCGCCGUAA
Molecule: ribosomal RNA, 498 nt
Filed under: uncultured bacterium
Lineage: Bacteria
Description: partial 16S ribosomal RNA
Rfam family: Bacterial small subunit ribosomal RNA
Source: RNAcentral